RNAcentral lists this ribosomal RNA (344 nucleotides) under Nematoda environmental sample. RNAcentral's name for it is "SSU rRNA". It matches the Rfam family "Eukaryotic small subunit ribosomal RNA", at positions 88 to 433 of the family's 1831-position model. The record is from RNAcentral. Lineage: Eukaryota; Metazoa; Nematoda.
CGCGAAUGGCUCAUUACAACAGCCGUUGUUUCUUGGAUCUCUUCUCUACUUGGAUAACUGUGGUAAUUCUAGAGCUAAUACAUGCAAUCAAGCCCUGAUCGUGAGUGACGGGCGCAUUUAUUAGAACAAGACCAUCCGGCCUCGUGCCGUACUUUGGUGACUCUGAAUAACUGAGCCGAUCGCGUGGGCUCGUCCCGGCGACGUAUCUUUCAAGUGUCUGCCUUAUCAGGUUUCGUUGGCGGUUUAUGUGACCGCCAAGCCUGUAACGGGUAACGGAGGAUCAGGGUCUGACUCCGGAGAGGGAGCCUGAGAAACGGCUACCACUUCCAAGGAAGGCAGCAGGC